Molecule: non-coding RNA, 497 nt
Organism: Vigna umbellata (rice bean)
Lineage: Eukaryota; Viridiplantae; Streptophyta; Magnoliopsida; Fabales; Fabaceae
Source: RefSeq, a predicted model, not a curated record
GAGUUCAUCCCGAAGAACAUUAACUCACGAACCACUCACUUGUGUCGUCGUUCACUGUCUCUCACUCUGACCUCACACCCUAAUCUUGUUCGUUCACUCACCGUUGUCUCAACUCAUUCUCAUCUCACUCAUAAUUGUGUCGUGUUCAGUCAUAGGUUCGUUGCUGACGACGAUCACCAAAUUCUUCUUCUCGCUCUGAUGGUGAUGCUCACAUAGUUCGUUGAUAUGCACAUUACGCUGUUUGGUUCGGUUUGCAAGACAUUGUUGCAUUGUUACCAGAGCUGGAUUGAGACAAAGGUGUUGUGGUUUGGGAAGAAUCGGAGUGGUAUUAAGGGAAGCAGGAGGGAACACAGGUGUCUCAGACAAAUUCAGAUUUGGCUAUUUCAGAUGCUUUUCAGAUGACAGGAGUUGUUGAUUCUGAUGGUGAGUUUUUGCUUUCAUGUGUUUGAAAGUUCAAUCUUUUCGUACCUCUUUAAUUGGAUUUUUAAAGGUUCUUG